GGUUUUAUAUUUUAAAAAAAAUUCUAAAUUGCAAAUUUAGAGAUAGAAUCACAAAUUCUUAAAACUU
This 67-nucleotide transfer RNA is filed under the name Caraboidea sp. KM-2017. RNAcentral's name for it is "tRNA-Cys". The record is from RNAcentral. Lineage: Eukaryota; Metazoa; Arthropoda; Insecta; Coleoptera.